This 153-nucleotide non-coding RNA is filed under the name Sus scrofa (pig). Its description in RNAcentral is "Eukaryotic large subunit ribosomal RNA". It matches the Rfam family "Eukaryotic large subunit ribosomal RNA", at positions 2825 to 2984 of the family's 3401-position model. Lineage: Eukaryota; Metazoa; Chordata; Mammalia; Artiodactyla; Suidae. The record is from Rfam by way of RNAcentral.
GAUAACUGGAACAUGUGGCUAAGUGUUCAUAGCAACUCUACUGUUUAGUCCCUGAAUGCUGGCUCUUCACUGAGAAGCAGACCUCAUCAAGUGUUGGAUUGUUCAUCCACUAAUAAGAAUGUGAGGUGGAAUCAGGCCAUCUUAAGAUAGGAC